UCCUAGAGAAGGCGGUGAAUUGUUCACCACUUUAUGAAGGCGGUGAACAAUGAAGACGGUAAACCAUUCACCGCCUUAUGAAGACGGUAAAUCAUUCACCGUCUUCAUUAGGUAUACCUUGGGCCCAGACCGACCCCGACACCUCUCCCUCCCUCUUCGCUCUCUCUCUCUUUCUCUCUCUAUCUUACUGUCUCUCUCUCCCUUUCUGCCCAUCCCUCUCCAGGUGCCUCCCCCGGUCGCCGUCAACCCACGCAUCCGCCGCCCGUGCCAACCUCCCUUAGCAACCCACAGUGCAGGUAGCAACCUCCCU
This 310-nucleotide long non-coding RNA is filed under the name Ananas comosus (pineapple). RNAcentral describes it as "long non-coding RNA (ACOM_LNC024523)". Lineage: Eukaryota; Viridiplantae; Streptophyta; Magnoliopsida; Poales; Bromeliaceae. The record is from RNAcentral.